Non-coding RNA from Callithrix jacchus (white-tufted-ear marmoset), 1128 nucleotides. NCBI's taxonomy places the organism in Eukaryota, Metazoa, Chordata, Mammalia, Primates, Cebidae. The record is from RefSeq and is a predicted model, not a curated record.
CCGCGGUCUUUCCUAAUGCCUGCAUUCGGACCUCUGUUAAACUGCCGGUUAGCGCCGGUUUUUUCCCGGGAAGGGUUCUGGGAGACGGAGGAGACGCAGCAGUUCGCCCUCGCCACCUCCAGGGGGCGGCGGUCCGCUCCCAGCCACACUCGAGCAGGCCCCUCCCACCCAGAGGCCGUGACUCCAAGUCAAGUGACGGUGGAAUCAGCUGACCCGGCGCGAGCGGAAAAAGGAAUUACCCGGCGCGGGCUUCCUGGCGCGAUGAGGUUCCGGUUCUGUGGCGAUCUGGACUGUCCCGACUGGGUCCUGGCAGAGAUCAGCACGCUGGCCAAGAUGUCCUCUGUGAAGUUGCGGCUGCUCUGCAGCCAGGUACUAAAGGAGCUGCUGGGACAGGGGACUGAUUAUGAGAAGAUCCUGAAGCUCACGGCUGACACCAAGUUUGAGUCAGGCGAUGUGAAGGCCACAGUGGCAGUGCUGAGCUUCAUCCUCUCCAGUGCGGCCAAGCACAGUGUUGAUGGCGAAUCCUUGUCCAGUGAACUGCAGCAGCUGGGGCUGCCCAAAGAGCACGCGGCCAGCCUUGUGCCGCUGUUACGAGGAGAAGCAAAUUCCCUUGCAGAAGCACUUGCGGGUCUGCAGCCUCCGCACAAAUAGGUUGGCAGGUGUGGGCUGGCGGGUGGACUACACCCUGAGCUCCAGCCUGCUGCAGUCUGUGGAAGAGCCUAUGGUGCACCUGCGCCUGGAGGUGGCAGCUGCCCCAGGUACCCCAGCCCAGCCUGUUGCCAUGUCCCUCUCAGCAGACAAGUUCCAGGUCCUCCUGGCAGAGCUGAAGCAGGCCCAGACCCUGAUGAGCUCCCUGGGCUGAGGAGAAGGGAGUUACAGGCCUGUGUGGAGCCGCCUUAACCUAUACGGAAUCAUGCCAUCUGCACUGCUCUUCAGGAGGUGCCCCGCUUCUAGGAAACUGGGGCCAUAGCUGGGCUCUGGCCUCCCAGAUCCCCGGCUGCCUCACUUCUCUCAUGAGAGCUCGGCUUAGGGCUCCUGAGGACCUUUCCCAACAUUCCCUUCCCUUCCCUUGAAAGGCAGUUGUUGGCCAUUUUCGUGAGCAGGAAAAAUAAACAGAAGGAAAAGGAA